ACGUAUCUCUGACGGGGUGCGGUUCGCCCUGCUCCGGCCCAAACGGGUCGUGCAGCGGGCGGCCGUCCCCGCUCAAACCUCACAAACCCACUGUGAACCUUCACGGCGGAGGGGGCCUGGUUCGCGCCACGCCCCCGAUGCCGCAUACCAAACUCCAGUUGCAAAGAAUGUAUCGCGGACCUCGUGCCGCCUAAAACACAUAA
Molecule: unclassified non-coding RNA, 203 nt
Filed under: uncultured Trechispora
Lineage: Eukaryota; Fungi; Basidiomycota; Agaricomycetes; Polyporales; Polyporaceae
Description: sequence contains ITS1
Source: RNAcentral